UAAAUCAUGAUCGUUGUGAUCAAGUUUUUAUCUUCAGUUAUAUGCUUGUACUGAAUUAUUCACUUCCCCCUCUGGUUUUAGAGGAGUGUUCUUCAUUCAAUGACCUGCCUGAUAAUGGGAAUGCAGCCCCAUGUGAAAAUCUGCGAAAACAACUGAAGAAUUACAUCCCGGAUGUCAGAUGAUAACAUAAUCGAACAGGAGUUUUGAUGAAAUAUUGGUGCCUGUUUCUCAGGAGGAUCUCGUAAUGCCAUAAUCCAUAGUUUUUCAGUAAGGUGAGUGGUUUCUGGAAGUACAGGCGUCGCAUGUCCAUGUACUCCUACCAUUCACAUUAUCAAGUGCAUUGAUGACAGCAUCAAGGCCCUCGCCGCCUGCCCGCCUCAUCUCGACAGAUUUAGAGGCGCGCGGGAGCUGCCACAGCCGCCACCGGGAAUGUGGGCGCAUGCGGGGCGGCCGCCGGCGAACAAGGUCGUGCGUGAGUCCGAAUUAAUUUAUCCAAGAUUUUUGAAUUUAAACACUCAGAGCUCUCCGCCACCAGCAUACUCCCGAGUCCGAAUGAAAUGCUGCCAGGAAUCAAGCGUUAGUCGGUGAAACAACAUCUUCAAAGUCUAGGGUAAAGUGGGAGAGAUGCUACACUUACGCGCACAUUUCUACGGAAUUAAGUUACAGACUGAUGUGUUGAAUCUCGAUUGGAAAUCUCGAGAGGGUGUGACCCAGGCCCUGAAAAUCAGGGGGAGUGGUUAGUGCAGGGAGGAGUCUGUAAGUGGGCUCCCGUAGGUCUUGCCUGGAAGUAGGAUUUUCGGGUGGCCACUAACCUGUCUCCCUAACAAUUUACUCUUUUCCUCUGUAGAAUCUGGUGGAUGGCAACAAAUUCAGGCUAUGGACAGAUGAUUUCAAAGAUUACCAAACUAUUUCUUUUAUGGAAUGAGAUUACCCACAUAAUAAUUCAGAAGAGUAGUACUUUAUCUUACUACCUUGAGAAGUUCAUCACAUGGUUGCAGAUGAGACUGAACACCCUGAUG
Molecule: non-coding RNA, 1019 nt
Organism: Triticum urartu
Lineage: Eukaryota; Viridiplantae; Streptophyta; Magnoliopsida; Poales; Poaceae
Source: RefSeq, a predicted model, not a curated record